UACGGAGGAUCCAAGCGUUAUCCGGAUUCACUGGGUUUAAAGGGUGUGUAGGCGGAACAUUAAGUCAGUGGUGAAAUCUCUCAGCUUAACUGAGAAACUGCCAUUGAAACUGAUGUUCUUGAGUACAGUUGAGGUAGGCGGAAUGUGUAGUGUAGCGGUGAAAUGCUUAGAUAUUACACAGAACACCGAUUGCGAAGGCAGCUUGCUAAGCUGUAACUGACGCUGAGACACGAAAGCGUGGGGAUCAAACAGG
This 253-nucleotide ribosomal RNA is filed under the name uncultured bacterium. Its description in RNAcentral is "partial 16S ribosomal RNA". It matches the Rfam family "Bacterial small subunit ribosomal RNA", at positions 524 to 776 of the family's 1533-position model. The record is from RNAcentral.